GUGGCGCAUCAAACUAUGCGAAGGAGAAAACAAACGCGCGCUGCUGCUGCUGUGACGCACCAGGGCCUGUUGUUCCUCCCUCCUCCCUGAGGGAAAACUGCUCCCCAGCCUACAUCCGUGACCCCCCAUCCAUGGUAACAGGACUUGCCAUCAUGUCAGACUCCAGAUCAGGCCAAAUGCAGGCAGACCAGUUGCUUUUCAUUGCUUCAAAGUAAAUAAAAACACGAGUAUUUACAGAUUUA
Austrofundulus limnaeus is the source of this 242-nucleotide long non-coding RNA. RefSeq lists it as uncharacterized. The record is from RefSeq and is a predicted model, not a curated record. The transcript has 2 exons. NCBI's taxonomy places the organism in Eukaryota, Metazoa, Chordata, Actinopteri, Cyprinodontiformes, Rivulidae.